CAGCCGCGCGGGAAUGCGAAGGGGGCUAGCGUUGUUCGGAUUUACUGGGCGUAAAGCGCACGUAGGCGGACUUUUAAGUCAGGGGUGAAAUCCCGGGGCUCAACCCCGGAACUGCCUUUGAUACUGGAAGUCUUGAGUAUGGUAGAGGUGAGUGGAAUUCCGAGUGUAGCGGUGAAAUUCGUAGAUAUUGGGAAGAACACCGGUGGCGAAGGCGGCGACCUGGUCCAUAACUGACGCUGAGGCGCGAAAGCGUGGGGAGCAAACAGGAUUAGAUACCCGGGUAGUCCCUGUCUCUUAUACA
RNAcentral lists this ribosomal RNA (301 nucleotides) under uncultured bacterium. RNAcentral describes it as "partial 16S ribosomal RNA". It matches the Rfam family "Bacterial small subunit ribosomal RNA", at positions 509 to 808 of the family's 1533-position model. The record is from RNAcentral.